Molecule: non-coding RNA, 177 nt
Organism: Longilinea arvoryzae
Lineage: Bacteria; Bacillati; Chloroflexota; Anaerolineae; Anaerolineales; Anaerolineaceae
Rfam family: 6S / SsrS RNA
About the family: E. coli 6S RNA was the first non coding RNA to be sequenced, but its function was unknown until recently.
Source: Rfam
AUUGCCCUGCUGUGCUCGUGCUGCGGCAAGACCGGUUUUGAGCCAACACUUUUUAAAUGGGAUCCAUGAUCACGGUUGUGAUGCGUUAGGCUUCGGCCAAGGCAGAUCCCCCGUGGAGGUUCCCGGCCUGCGUUAGCAGGUUCAAAACUAUGCAGCACACGACACGGCGGGGUCUUU